GCGGGGAUAGCUCAGUGGUGGAGCGCAUGCUUAGCAUGCAUGAAGUCCUGGAUUCAAUCCCUAGCACCUCCA
This 72-nucleotide transfer RNA is filed under the name Camelus bactrianus (Bactrian camel). It matches the Rfam family "tRNA". Rfam says of the family: Transfer RNA (tRNA) molecules are approximately 80 nucleotides in length. Their secondary structure includes four short double-helical elements and three loops (D, anti-codon, and T loops). Further hydrogen bonds mediate the characteristic L-shaped molecular structure. tRNAs have two regions of fundamental functional importance: the anti-codon, which is responsible for specific mRNA codon recognition, and the 3' end, to which the tRNAs corresponding amino acid is attached (by aminoacyl-tRNA synthetases). tRNAs cope with the degeneracy of the genetic code in two manners: having more than one tRNA (with a specific anti-codon) for a particular amino acid; and 'wobble' base-pairing, i.e. permitting non-standard base-pairing at the 3rd anti-codon position. RNAcentral also lists the same sequence under 1 other name. The record is from Rfam by way of RNAcentral. Lineage: Eukaryota; Metazoa; Chordata; Mammalia; Artiodactyla; Camelidae.